This 253-nucleotide ribosomal RNA is filed under the name uncultured bacterium. RNAcentral's name for it is "partial 16S ribosomal RNA". It matches the Rfam family "Bacterial small subunit ribosomal RNA", at positions 524 to 776 of the family's 1533-position model. The record is from RNAcentral.
UACGGGGGGUGCGAGCGUUGUCCGGAAUCACUGGGCGUAAAGCGCGCGUAGGCGGCUUUGCAAGUCGGGUGUGAAAUCCCCAGGCUUAACCUGGGAACUGCAUUCGAGACUGCAUUGCUAGAGUAUGGGAGAGGGAAGUGGAAUUUCCGGUGUAGCGGUGAAAUGCGUAGAUAUCGGAAGGAACAUCAGUGGCGAAAGCGACUUCCUGGACCAAUACUGACGCUCAUGUGCGAAAGCGUGGGGAGCAAACAGG